Molecule: ribosomal RNA, 1354 nt
Filed under: uncultured bacterium
Lineage: Bacteria
Description: bacterial SSU rRNA
Rfam family: Bacterial small subunit ribosomal RNA
Source: RNAcentral
AUUGAACGCUGGCGGCAUGCCUUACACAUGCAAGUCGAACGGCAGCACGGGUGCUUGCACCUGGUGGCGAGUGGCGAACGGGUGAGUAAUACAUCGGAACAUGUCCUGUAGUGGGGGAUAGCCCGGCGAAAGCCGGAUUAAUACCGCAUACGAUCUACGGAUGAAAGCGGGGGACCUUCGGGCCUCGCGCUAUAGGGUUGGCCGAUGGCUGAUUAGCUAGUUGGUGGGGUAAAGGCCUACCAAGGCGACGAUCAGUAGCUGGUCUGAGAGGACGACCAGCCACACUGGGACUGAGACACGGCCCAGACUCCUGCGGGAGGCAGCAGUGGGGAAUUUUGGACAAUGGGCGAAAGCCUGAUCCAGCAAUGCCGCGUGUGUGAAGAAGGCCUUCGGGUUGUAAAGCACUUUUGUCCGGAAAGAAAUCCUUGGCUCUAAUACAGUCGGGGGAUGACGGUACCGGAAGAAUAAGCACCGGCUAACUACGUGCCAGCAGCCGCGGUAAUACGUAGGGUGCGAGCGUUAAUCGGAAUUACUGGGCGUAAAGCGUGCGCAGGCGGUUUGCUAAGACCGAUGUGAAAUCCCCGGGCUCAACCUGGGAACUGCAUUGGUGACUGGCAGGCUAGAGUAUGGCAGAGGGGGGUAGAAUUCCACGUGUAGCAGUGAAAUGCGUAGAGAUGUGGAGGAAUACCGAUGGCGAAGGCAGCCCCCUGGGCCAAUACUGACGCUCAUGCACGAAAGCGUGGGGAGCAAACAGGAUUAGAUACCCUGGUAGUCCACGCCCUAAACGAUGUCAACUAGUUGUUGGGGAUUCAUUUCCUUAGUAACGUAGCUAACGCGUGAAGUUGACCGCCUGGGGAGUACGGUCGCAAGAUUAAAACUCAAAGGAAUUGACGGGGACCCGCGCAAGCGGUGGAUGAUGUGGAUUAAUUCGAUGCAACGCGAAAAACCUUACCUACCCUUGACAUGGUCGGAAUCCCGCUGAGAGGUGGGAGUGCUCGAAAGAGAACCGGCGCACAGGUGCUGCAUGGCUGUCGUCAGCUCGUGUCGUGAGAUGUUGGGUUAAGUCCCGCAACGAGCGCAACCCUUGUCCUUAGUUGCUACGCAAGAGCACUCUAAGGAGACUGCCGGUGACAAACCGGAGGAAGGUGGGGAUGACGUCAAGUCCUCAUGGCCCUUAUGGGUAGGGCUUCACACGUCAUACAAUGGUCGGAACAGAGGGUUGCCAACCCGCGAGGGGGAGCUAAUCCCAGAAAACCGAUCGUAGUCCGGAUUGCACUCUGCAACUCGAGUGCAUGAAGCUGGAAUCGCUAGUAAUCGCGGAUCAGCAUGCCGCGGUGAAUACGUUCCCGGGUCU